RNAcentral lists this small RNA (143 nucleotides) under Aminobacter aminovorans. Its description in RNAcentral is "sRNA ar7". It matches the Rfam family "Alphaproteobacterial sRNA ar7". Lineage: Bacteria; Pseudomonadati; Pseudomonadota; Alphaproteobacteria; Hyphomicrobiales; Phyllobacteriaceae. The record is from RNAcentral.
CAUCGGCAGUUUUUGCCGAAGUCCGGUCUCAGGCCCGUCCCCCGCCUAUCCGGACCCUGCGGCAGCCUCAUCCCCCUCUCCGGGCUGCCGCACCGUUUAAGAAUGUGCCGCCGUGGCUCCCCCCUCCACCACGGCGGCACUUU